This 442-nucleotide ribosomal RNA is filed under the name uncultured bacterium. RNAcentral's name for it is "partial 16S ribosomal RNA". It matches the Rfam family "Bacterial small subunit ribosomal RNA", at positions 338 to 795 of the family's 1533-position model. The record is from RNAcentral.
CCUACGGGAGGCAGCAGUAGGGAAUCUUUCACAAUGGUCGAAAGCCUGAUGGAGCAACGCCGCGUGCAGGAUGAAGGCCUUCGGGUUGUAAACUGCUUUUAUAAGCGAGCAAUAUGAUGGUAACUUAUGAAUAAGGAUCGACUAACUACGUGCCAGCAGCCGCGGUCAUACGUAGGAUCCGAGCAUUAUCCGGAGUUACUGGGUGUAAAGAGUUGCGUAGGUGGCAUAAUAAGUAGCUAGUGAAAUCUGGUGGCUCAACCAUUCAGACUAUUAGCUAAACUGUUAAGCUCGAGACCGUUAGGGGUAACUGGAAUGUCUAGUGUAGGAGUGAAAUCCGUAGAUAUUAGAAGGAACACCAAUAGCGUAGGCAGGUUGCUGGGACGGUUCUGACACUAAGGCACGAAAGCGUAGGGAGCAAACGGGAUUAGAUACCCGAGUAGUC